AUUGAACGCUGGCCGUAGGCUUAACACAUGCAAGUCAAGCGGUAGCACAGGGGAGCUUGCUCCCUGGGUGACGAGCGGCGGACGGGUGAGUAAUGUCUGGGAAACUGCCUGAUGGAGGGGGAUAACUACUGGAAACGGUAGCUAAUACCGCAUAACGUCGCAAGACCAAAGAGGGGGACCUUCGGGCCUCUUGCCAUCAGAUGUGCCCAGAUGGGAUUAGCUAGUAGGUGGGGUAAUGGCUCACCUAGGCGACGAUCCCUAGCUGGUCUGAGAGGAUGACCAGCCACACUGGAACUGAGACACGGUCCAGACUCCUACGGGAGGCAGCAGUGGGGAAUAUUGCACAAUGGGCGCAAGCCUGAUGCAGCCAUGCCGCGUGUGUGAAGAAGGCCUUCGGGUUGUAAAGCACUUUCAGCGAGGAGGAAGGUGGUGAACUUAAUACGUUCAUCAAUUGACGUUACUCGCAGAAGAAGCACCGGCUAACUCCGUGCCAGCAGCCGCGGUAAUACGGAGGGUGCAAGCGUUAAUCGGAAUUACUGGGCGUAAAGCGCACGCAGGCGGUUUGUUAAGUCAGAUGUGAAAUCCCCGGGCUCAACCUGGGAACUGCAUUUGAAACUGGCAAGCUAGAGUCUCGUAGAGGGGGGUAGAAUUCCAGGUGUAGCGGUGAAAUGCGUAGAGAUCUGGAGGAAUACCGGUGGGCGAAGGCGGCCCCCUGGACGAAGACUGACGCUCAGGUGCGAAAGCGUGGGGAGCAAACAGGAUUAGAUACCCUGGUAGUCCACGCUGUAAACGAUGUCGAUUUGGAGGUUGUGCCCUUGAGGCGUGGCUUCCGGAGCUAACGCGUUAAAUCGACCGCCUGGGGAGUACGGCCGCAAGGUUAAAACUCAAAUGAAUUGACGGGGGCCCGCACAAGCGGUGGAGCAUGUGGUUUAAUUCGAUGCAACGCGAAGAACCUUACCUACUCUUGACAUCCAGAGAACUUUCCAGAGAUGGAUUGGUGCCUUCGGGAACUCUGAGACAGGUGCUGCAUGGCUGUCGUCAGCUCGUGUUGUGAAAUGUUGGGUUAAGUCCCGCAACGAGCGCAACCCUUAUCCUUUGUUGCCAGCGGUUCAGCCGGGAACUCAAAGGAGACUGCCAGUGAUAAACUGGAGGAAGGUGGGGAUGACGUCAGGUCAUCAUGGCCCUUACGAGUAGGGCUACACACGUGCUACAAUGGCAUAUACAAAGAGAAGCGACCUCGCGAGAGCAAGCGGACCUCAUAAAGUAUGUCGUAGUCCGGAUUGGAGUCUGCAACUCGACUCCAUGAAGUCGGAAUCGCUAGUAAUCGUAGAUCAGAAUGCUACGGUGAAUACGUUCCCGGGCCU
This 1364-nucleotide ribosomal RNA is filed under the name uncultured bacterium. RNAcentral describes it as "bacterial SSU rRNA". It matches the Rfam family "Bacterial small subunit ribosomal RNA", at positions 28 to 1381 of the family's 1533-position model. The record is from RNAcentral.